Long non-coding RNA from Brachypodium distachyon (stiff brome), 489 nucleotides. RefSeq lists it as uncharacterized. The record is from RefSeq and is a predicted model, not a curated record. Lineage: Eukaryota; Viridiplantae; Streptophyta; Magnoliopsida; Poales; Poaceae. The transcript is spliced from 2 exons.
AGGAUACGCUGCUCGGCGGAGGCAGCAUCCGGCGCACGCACCAACAGGUAGAGCUUCUUCACAUCAGGCUGAACCCUCAGUAUCUUCUCCACCAGCACUGCAUGUUCAUAUUAAUACAGGUGGGGAUCUGAAGCUGCUGGAUCGAGGUCUGGUUACAACUGGAAAGCCAGGGCCGAAGAACCGCAGGAUCAUCUGUGACGUGGUCUGAUGCCGCAGGAUGGAAGCUGUCAGGGGGCUGGGGCGUGUGAGUUCUUUCGGUUUUGACUUGUUAUAUAUUACUGUUUUCUUUCAGUUUUUACUCUUGUAAGGAUGAGUUUAAGACUCUCAUCUUUCAUUCUUUGCUAGAGAACGGGGCAGAUAGCAUUUUUGCUCCAAAAAGAAGAAAAACAAACGCCUUGGCAAUCAAUACCCAUCGUGGUUGAUCCAUGUCGAAAACAACUGUAACUUGCCCUUAAAAGGGAACCAUAUAUCAGCUGGCACCUACUGACA